AUGCAGGACUGUUAAGUAUUUAACAGUCUUAUUAGGGGUAGGUAGCGGCUAAUGGCAUCCAAACAGUCUUGAAAACUG
Molecule: transfer RNA, 78 nt
Filed under: Salmonella phage FSL SP-107
Lineage: Duplodnaviria; Heunggongvirae; Uroviricota; Caudoviricetes; Andersonviridae
Description: tRNA-Leu
Source: RNAcentral